GCCGGCGUGAUGGAAUUGGUAGACGUAGCGGACUCAAAAUCCGCCGAUGGCAACAUCAUGUGGGUUCGAGUCCCACCGCCGGCACCA
This 87-nucleotide transfer RNA is filed under the name Clostridia bacterium. RNAcentral's name for it is "tRNA-Leu". It matches the Rfam family "tRNA". From Rfam's summary of the family: Transfer RNA (tRNA) molecules are approximately 80 nucleotides in length. Their secondary structure includes four short double-helical elements and three loops (D, anti-codon, and T loops). Lineage: Bacteria; Bacillati; Bacillota; Clostridia. The record is from RNAcentral.